This 227-nucleotide ribosomal RNA is filed under the name uncultured bacterium. RNAcentral describes it as "partial 16S ribosomal RNA". It matches the Rfam family "Bacterial small subunit ribosomal RNA", at positions 107 to 334 of the family's 1533-position model. The record is from RNAcentral.
UGAGUAACACGUAUCCAACCUGCCGUCUACUCUUGGACAGCCUUCUGAAAGGAAGAUUAAUACAAGAUGGCAUCAUGAGUCCGCAUGUUCACAUGAUUAAAGGUAUUCCGGUAGACGAUGGGGAUGCGUUCCAUUAGAUAGUAGGCGGGGUAACGGCCCACCAAGACUACGAUGGAUAGGGGUUCUGAGAGGAAGGUCCCCCACAUUGGAACUGAGACACGGCCCAA